Oryza sativa Japonica Group (Japanese rice) is the source of this 115-nucleotide small nucleolar RNA. It matches the Rfam family "Small nucleolar RNA Z188". From Rfam's summary of the family: Z188 is a member of the C/D class of snoRNA which contain the C (UGAUGA) and D (CUGA) box motifs. Most of the members of the box C/D family function in directing site-specific 2'-O-methylation of substrate RNAs. Lineage: Eukaryota; Viridiplantae; Streptophyta; Magnoliopsida; Poales; Poaceae. The record is from Rfam.
UCGUGCUGGUGAUGAUUAAAGAGCUAGCAAUGGUGAAUUCGAUGAAUUUGUUCGCGUGCUGCUGGGUGCGCAGCAGUGGUGAUAUGCAUCCUUACGCAGUUCAUAUGAGGCACGC